CCCCAGUAACGGCGAGUGAAGCGGCAAUAGCUCAAAUUUGAAAUCUGGCCCCCUCCGGGGCCCGAGUUGUAAUUUGUAGAGGAUGCUUCGGUGUUGGCCCCGGCCCAAGUUCCUUGGAACAGGACGUCGCAGAGGGUGAGAAUCCCGUACGUGGCCGGUGUCCCUCGCCGUGUGAAGCUCCUUCGACGAGUCGAGUUGUUUGGGAAUGCAGCUCUAAAUGGGAGGUAAAUUUCUUCUAAAGCUAAAUACCGGCCAGAGACCGAUAGCGCACAAGUAGAGUGAUCGAAAGAUGAAAAGCACUUUGGAAAGAGAGUUAAAAAGUACGUGAAAUUGUUGAAAGGGAAGCGCUUGCAACCAGACCUGUCCACCGUCGCUCACCCGGGCCUCUCUGCCCGGUGCAUUCUUCGGCGGCCAGGCCAGCAUCGGUUCGGGCGGUCGGACAAAGGCGGCGGGAAUGUGGCUCCCCUCGGGGAGUGUUAUAGCCCGCUGUACAAUGCGGCCAGCCCGGACCGAGGUCCGCGCUCCGGCUAGGAUGCUGGCUUAAUGGUUGUAAGCGGCCCGUCUUGAAACACGGACCGAGGAGUCUAACAUCUGUGCGAGUGUUUGGGUGUCAAGCCCGGACGCGUAAUGAAAGUGAACGGAGGCGGGAACCCUCGGGUGCACCGUCGACCGAUCCUGAUGUCUUCGGAUGGAUUUGAGUAAGAGCAUAGCUGUUGGGACCCGAAAGAUGGUGAACUAUGCCUGAAUAGGGUGAAGCCAGAGGAAACUCUGGUGGAGGCUCGCAGCGGUUCUGACGUGCAAAUCGAUCGUCAAAUUUGGGCAUAGGGGCGAAAGACUAAUCGAACUAUCUAGUAGCUGGUUCCUGCCGAAGUUUCCCUCAGGAUAGCAGUAACGUUUUCAGUUUUAUGAGGUAAAGCGAAUGAUUAGAGGCCUGGGGGUUGAAACAACCUUCACCUAUUCUCAAACUUUAAAUAUGUAAGAAGUCCUUGUUGCUUAGUUGAACGCGG
This 1007-nucleotide ribosomal RNA is filed under the name Hysterographium flexuosum. Its description in RNAcentral is "eukaryotic LSU rRNA". It matches the Rfam family "Eukaryotic large subunit ribosomal RNA", at positions 78 to 1104 of the family's 3401-position model. Lineage: Eukaryota; Fungi; Ascomycota; Dothideomycetes; Hysteriales; Hysteriaceae. The record is from RNAcentral.